GGGAGCUGCUGGUACCAGUCGAAGUUUUGGUACUUGGUGGUGAACACGCAGGACAGGGUGGAGACCUCCCCUUCCCCAGUAAACAGUGACUGGGGGCUCUGAUCCACUUGGGCUUCGCAGCAGGAGACUGAAGGGAAACAAACGAACAGUUGAAAUGUAGCAUUCAAGUGUAGAAUCUUCCCGACUCUGAAAAGAGGCAAGAAAUGCAAACAAAGACCCCUGGGACAAUAUGACUAUUCCUGCAGUAUCUCAGCACCACACAGACAUGAAUGGAUUUAGCCUGGGAUGUUCAAAGGAACCCAAGGGAGUUAGGAACCCAUGUCCUGUUGAAUUUCAGUGAAGUUUGGCUACCUAGAUCCUAUAGCUCUCUUUGGCAAUCCCAACCUUGAAUUCAACAGAACAUGGGUUCAUAACCUGCUGGCCUCGGGAGAAUGCUACCCAGCAGCGGUUAGUGGGGCAGCCCCUGGAAGAUGGGAAAUGCAGCCCCCUGCACAUCACGGACUCCCAGCUGGGGGACUCAGACAGUUACCUCCGUGCAGUGAGAGCAGAGUGAGUCUGUUAUAUUUGAGACUUUGAGAGUGUGCAUUUGUGUUUGAUCUGCAUGUGAGUGAUUUUGGUAUAUGUGCUAGUUUGUGUGUGAGUGAGUGUGUCAUUUUGUGAGUGUGGCAAUGAGAGAAUUUGGGACGUGUGUGUGUGAGUGACUGUGGGUGUUUGAUGUAUGUAAGAGCAACUUUGGUAUAUAUGUGAUUCUGGGUGUGAGUGACUUUGUUUGCGUGAAUUGUAAGUUCACAUAUGUAUGAAUUUGUAUGUGUAAGAGAGAGGGAAAGAGAGAGAGACUUUGU
Molecule: long non-coding RNA, 842 nt
Organism: Dermochelys coriacea (leatherback sea turtle)
Lineage: Eukaryota; Metazoa; Chordata; Testudines; Dermochelyidae
Exons: 3
Source: RefSeq, a predicted model, not a curated record